UUCCGAAGCCAGCUCACUGCGCUCAUAUGGACGUUGAGGCACGAAAGCUUGGUUACCAACCAGGAUUAGAUCCCCUGUUAGUCCACGCCGUAACGUAUGAUCACUCACUCUUGGCAAUAUAUCGUCAGCGUCUGAGCGAAAGCAUUAAGUGAUCCACCUGGGGAUUACGAUCGCAAGAUUGAAACUCAAAGGAAUUGACGGGGGCCCGCACAAGCGGAGGAACAUGUGGUUUAAUUCGAUGAUACGCGAGGAACCUUACCUGGGCUUGAAAGACAGACCGACGUUUCCCUGAAAGCUGAAUUCCUCUUCGGGCGAACUGCAAGUCACUGCAUGCCUGUCGUUCAGUUCGUUCCGUGCAGUUAUCGGGUUAAGUCCCAUCACGAGCGCGACCCUUAUCGUUAGUUACCAGCGGUUAAUUCCAGGGGACUCUAUCGGAACCUGCCGGUCCAAACCGUGAGGAAGGUGGGGACGACGUCAAGUCAGCCCGGCCCUCAUGUACCAGGGCUACACACAGCGCUACAAUGAUCGAUAGCAAAGGGCAGAUACCUAGCGUCACAGGAUGCUAAUCUAUCCCCUCGUCCUCAGUUCGGAUUGGAGUCUAGCAACUCGACUUCAUGAAGCUGGAUUUCGCUAGUAAUCGCGCAUCCGCCAUGGCCUGCUGAAUACGUUCCCGG
RNAcentral lists this ribosomal RNA (674 nucleotides) under uncultured organism. Its description in RNAcentral is "bacterial SSU rRNA". It matches the Rfam family "Bacterial small subunit ribosomal RNA", at positions 712 to 1377 of the family's 1533-position model. The record is from RNAcentral.